Molecule: ribosomal RNA, 463 nt
Filed under: uncultured bacterium
Lineage: Bacteria
Description: partial 16S ribosomal RNA
Rfam family: Bacterial small subunit ribosomal RNA
Source: RNAcentral
GACGAACGCUGGCGGCGUGCUUAACACAUGCAAGUCGAACGGAAAGGCCCUGCUUUGGUGCGGUGCUCGAGUGGCCAACGGGUGAGUAACACGUAAGUAACCUGCCCUUGACUUUGGGAUAACUUCAGGAAACUGGGUCUAAUACCGGAUAGGAUCUCCUGCUGCAUGGUGGGGGCUGGAAAGUUUCGUCGGUUGGGGAUGGACUCGCGGUUGAUUAGCUUGUUGGUAGGGUAGUGGCCUACCAAGGCUUUGACGCAUAGCUGGCCUGAGAGGGUGAUCAGCCACACUGGGACUGAGACACGGCCCAGACUCCUACGGGAGGCAGCAGUGGGGAAUAUUGGACAAUGGGCGAAAGCCUGAUCCAGCAAUGCCGCGUGAGUGAUGAAGGCCUUAGGGUUGUAAAGCUCUUUUACCCGGGAUGAUAAUGACAGUACCGGGAGAAUAAGCUCCGGCUAACUCCGUG